CUACGGGCUGCACCAGUGAGGAAUAUUGCACAAUGGGGGGAACCCUGAUGCAGCAACGCCGCGUGGAGGAUGACGCAUUUCGGUGUGUAAACUCCUUUUAUAUGUCAAGAAAAUGACGGUAGCAUAUGAAUAAGCACCGGCUAACUCCGUGCCAGCAGCCGCGGUAAUACGGAGGGUGCAAGCGUUACUCGGAAUCACUGGGCGUAAAGGACGCGUAGGCGGGUUGGAAAGUCAGGUGUGAAAUCCUACAGCUUAAUUGUAGAACUGCACUUGAAACUUCUAAUCUAGAGUAUGGGAGGGGGAGAUGGAAUUAGUGGUGUAGGGGUAAAAUCCGUAGAUAUCACUAGGAAUACCUAAAGCGAAGGCGAUCUCCUGGAACAUUACUGACGCUAAGGCGUGAAAGCGUGGGGAGCAAACAGGAUUAGAUACCCGGGUAGUC
Molecule: ribosomal RNA, 439 nt
Filed under: uncultured bacterium
Lineage: Bacteria
Description: partial 16S ribosomal RNA
Rfam family: Bacterial small subunit ribosomal RNA
Source: RNAcentral